This 254-nucleotide ribosomal RNA is filed under the name uncultured bacterium. Its description in RNAcentral is "partial 16S ribosomal RNA". It matches the Rfam family "Bacterial small subunit ribosomal RNA", at positions 524 to 776 of the family's 1533-position model. The record is from RNAcentral.
CACGUAGGGUGCGAGCGUUGGCCGGAAUUAUUGGGCGUAAAGAGCUCGUAGGCGGUGUGUCGCGUCGGCCGUGAAAACCUGGGGCUUAACUCUGGGCUUGCGGUCGAUACGGGCAUCACUGGAGUUCGGCAGGGGAGACUGGAAUUCCUGGUGUAGCGGUGAAGUGCGCAGAUAUCAGGAGGAACACCGGUGGCGAAGGCGGGUCUCUGGGCCGAUACUGACGCUGAGGAGCGAAAGCGUGGGGAGCGAACAGG